RNAcentral lists this ribosomal RNA (348 nucleotides) under uncultured bacterium. RNAcentral describes it as "partial 16S ribosomal RNA". It matches the Rfam family "Bacterial small subunit ribosomal RNA", at positions 338 to 703 of the family's 1533-position model. The record is from RNAcentral.
CCUACGGGUGACUGCAGUGGGGAAUAUUGCACAAUGGGGGGAACCCUGAUGCAGCAAUGCCGCGUGGGUGAAGAAGGACUACGGUGCGUAAAGCCCUGUCAGCAGGGAAGAAAAUGACAGUACCUGGACAAGAAGCCCCGGCUAACUACGGGCCAGCAGCCGCGGUAAUACGUAGGGGGCAAGCGUUAGCCGGAUUUACUGGGUGAAAAGGGAGCGCAGGCGGCGUGGCAAGUAAGAUGGGAAACCCCGGGGCCCAACCCCGGGAGUGCCUUUGAAACUGCCAUGCUGGAGUGCCGGAGAGGUAAGCGGCUUUCCUCGUGUAGCGGUGACCUGCGUAUCUCUUAGGAG